Non-coding RNA from Podarcis lilfordi (Lilford's wall lizard), 71 nucleotides. Lineage: Eukaryota; Metazoa; Chordata; Lepidosauria; Squamata; Lacertidae. The record is from the annotation of a GenBank genome assembly.
GGGCUGUAGCUCAGUGGAAGAGAAUCUGUUUUGCAUGCAGGAGGACCCAGGGUCAAUUCCUGGCAUGUCCA